CAGAACCAAGAACAUCAGGCACAUUUAGGAUGCGCUGGUGGACACACCAGCUCCAGCAUUUUAUGGCGGUGCACUACCAUGAAGGGCCAUCUCUGAAUCAGCUUCUCUCUACUGAUGAACAGAAAGAACCUUUUUUCCCAUUGCAAGUUCCUGCUAACCCACUCAAGAUAAAUAUGAAUUAAUAGGCA
Long non-coding RNA from Peromyscus eremicus (cactus mouse), 188 nucleotides. RefSeq lists it as uncharacterized. The transcript is spliced from 2 exons. Lineage: Eukaryota; Metazoa; Chordata; Mammalia; Rodentia; Cricetidae. The record is from RefSeq and is a predicted model, not a curated record.